CUCUCUCGUUCUUAUCGGCGAGAGAAGAUGCGAUUGAUGCGAAAAUCGGGAAAUCCAAUCGAUUCACAUUGAAUGGGUUGAAUUUUUUUGGCUAAAUCAGAAGAGUUGAUGCAUAUCUCGUGUCGUUUUCAUUUCUCGUCUCCAUAGCGAAAGUUAGGUUUUUUUUUGUCCGUCGUUAGUAAUGCAUCUUCCACCAUCAAACGCCGCCGGAGCAGGACAACAAUCAGGACAGCCGCCGUUGUUGAUGAUGAUUUGACAACAGCAACAACAGCAACAGAGGUAGUCGGCGCCGGCACUAGGUCAACAGCAGCAGUAUUGCUACAUCAUGAGCAUCUUUGGUCAAUCUGGAGAGGCUGUAUCAGCUAAAGUCAUUCGUGUAAGCGUAGAAACUGAGCAGAUGCGUGCGUUUGGAACCAGAAAUUAUCUUCGAGUGGAGGUCUGGCUGAGAAGAUAGCAUAUCAUUUGGUUGUUGCAGAAAACUCAAAUGAAGAAGCUGAGAUGAAUAAAUGCAAGUUUGUUGUUAAACGUAUCAGAAAGAUGGAGAAAGAUGUUGAAGAAGCCUGCUCUACUGCGAAAGACAACCCGAAGAGAAAAUCGUUGGCAAAGGAAUUGGAAGAAGAAGAAUACCUUUGACACAAUGUAUGGAGAAACUUAAAUCUGUUCAAGGAAGUAGAACUUCCCUUGUGAACCAGCUUAAGGAUGCACUACGCGAACAGGAAUCGGAACUGGACAAUCUUAAAGCUCAGAUUCAGGUAGCACAAGAACAAACAGAGGAAACUCAAAACAUGCAGAAACGGCUCAACCGCUCCCCUGAGCUCAGUCUCUGCUACCAUGAUAACCGAGACAAAUGACAACUCAAUAUUGUUUUGUAUCUUGACGGGUUUGGUUGUUUUUGAUUCUAUGAAACAGGUGGGCGUUGAUUGAUUUAUUUGUUUGUUGCUGAUAUAUUCUUAGUUUUUGAUGCGAAUGAUUUUUGCAAACAUUGUUUAAGUGAGCUUUUGUUGUUCUGCAAUAUAGGUUCCUUGUAGAUAUUUCACCAUUUUGAGUUUUCUUCUAUAUCAAUUGAAUUUUUAAGCC
Camelina sativa (false flax) is the source of this 1077-nucleotide long non-coding RNA. RefSeq lists it as uncharacterized. The record is from RefSeq and is a predicted model, not a curated record. Lineage: Eukaryota; Viridiplantae; Streptophyta; Magnoliopsida; Brassicales; Brassicaceae.